Molecule: ribosomal RNA, 432 nt
Filed under: uncultured bacterium
Lineage: Bacteria
Description: partial 16S ribosomal RNA
Rfam family: Bacterial small subunit ribosomal RNA
Source: RNAcentral
AACGAACGCUGGCGGCAUGCCUAACACAUGCAAGUCGAACGAGACCUUCGGGUCUAGUGGCGCACGGGUGCGUAACGCGUGGGAACCUGCCCUUAGGUUCGGAAUACCUCCCCGAAAGGGGUGCUAAUACCGGAUAAUCUCUUCGGACCAAAGAUUUAUCGCCUUUGGAUGGGCCCGCGUUGGAUUCGCUAGUUGGUAGGGUAAAAGCCUACCAAGGCGACGAUCCAUAGCUGGUCUGAGAGGAUGAUCAGCGACACUGGGACUGGGACACGGCCCAGACUGCUACGGGAGGCAGCAGUGGGGAAUAUUGGACAAGGGGCGAAAGCCUGAUCCAGCAAGGCCGCGUGAGUGAUGAAGGCCUUAGGGUUGUAAAGCUCUUUUACCCGGGAUGAUAAUGACAGUACCGGGAGAAUAAGCUCCGGCUAACUCCGU